This is a long non-coding RNA of Odocoileus virginianus texanus, 400 nucleotides long. RefSeq lists it as uncharacterized. Lineage: Eukaryota; Metazoa; Chordata; Mammalia; Artiodactyla; Cervidae. The record is from RefSeq and is a predicted model, not a curated record.
UGCUGGUGUCCUGAAUACAUGUCUCUCUGCUUGUUGGGUAAUCUGACACGGUAACUGGCCAGAGGGAGUCAGCCAGGUGAGAGCUGGGGAAGGGUGUGGCUGGCAGGGGGGAGUUUCUUGUAAGUACAAAGGCCCAGAGGCAAGAGAAAAGAUGGCGUGUUGGGGGAAGAAGGAAAUCCUUUGAUGCGAUCCGGCAAAUGGAAAGAGGAUCACUGUGAAUAUUGCUAGAGACCUUUUGAUGGUUUGAAAUCAUUCAUGCAAGAGACACCAAGUACCCAGGAUGUUUCAAGCACUGACCCAGAAAAAUGUUCCUGUACACGCACCCGGAGGCUUUUGCAGGAGGCGGCUGUUGGAGAACCAGGAAAACAAGCCAAGAAACAAGAGAGAGGAAAAAGACCAC